This 982-nucleotide ribosomal RNA is filed under the name uncultured bacterium. RNAcentral's name for it is "bacterial SSU rRNA". It matches the Rfam family "Bacterial small subunit ribosomal RNA", at positions 8 to 974 of the family's 1533-position model. The record is from RNAcentral.
AGAGUUUGAUCCUGGCUCAGAAUGAACGCUGGCGGCGUGGAUAAGACAUGCAAGUCGAACGAGAAAACUGAUUAGUUUACUAAGAUGUUUUCUAGUGGCGGACGGGUUAGUAACACGUGAGCAACCUGCCUCGAAGCGGGGGAUAGCCUUCCGAAAGGGAGAUUAAUACCGCAUGUGGCCCCCUUUUAUUAGGGUGGUUAAAGGUGCCUUCGGGUAUCGCUUCGAGAUGGGCUCGCGGCCUAUCAGCUUGUUGGUGAGGUAAUGGCUCACCAAGGCUACGACGGGUAGCUGGUCUGAGAGGACGAUCAGCAACACUGGAACUGAGACACGGUCCAGACACCUACGGGUGGCAGCAGUCGAGAAUCAUUCACAAUGGGGGCAACCCUGAUGGUGCAACGCCGCGUGGAGGAUGAAGGCCCUAGGGUCGUAAACUCCUGUCAUAUGAGAGUAAGGCAUAUGUGUUAAUACCAUGUAUGUUUGAUAGUAUCAUAAGAGGAAGGGACGGCUAACUUCGUGCCAGCAGCCGCGGUAAUACGAAGGUCCCGAGCGUUAUUCGGAAUCACUGGGCGUAAAGAGUACGUAGGCGGUUUGGUAAGUCAGGUGUGAAAUCCCGGAGCUCAACUCCGGAACUGCAUCCGAUACUGCUAGACUUGAGUAAUGGAGGGGCAGGUGGAAUUCUCGGUGUAGCAGUGAAAUGCGUGGAUAUCGAGAGGAAGACCAAUGGCGAAGGCAGCCUGCUGGACAUUUACUGACGCUGAGGUACGAAGGCCAGGGUAGCGAAAGGGAUUAGAUACCCCUGUAGUCCUGGCAGUAAACGGUGCGCGCUUGGUGUAGGAGGACUCGACCCCUUCUGUGCCGGAGCUAACGCGUUAAGCGNGCCGCCUGGGGAGUACGGUCGCAAGACUAAAACUCAAAGAAAUUGACGGGGGCCCGCACAGCGGUGGAGCAUGUGGCUUAAUUCGAUGCACGCGAAGAANCUUAC